AGAGUUUGAUCCUGGCUCAGAACGAACGCUGGCGGCAGGCUUAACACAUGCAAGUCGAGCGCCCCGCAAGGGGAGCGGCAGACGGGUGAGUAACGCGUGGGAAUCUACCUUUUGCUACGGAACAACAGUUGGAAACGACUGCUAAUACCGUAUGUGCCCUUCGGGGGAAAGAUUUAUCGGCAAAGGAUGAGCCCGCGUUGGAUUAGCUAGUUGGUGAGGUAAAGGCUCACCGAGGCGACGAUCCAUAGCUGGUCUGAGAGGAUGAUCAGCCACACUGGGACUGAGACACGGCCCAGACUCCUACGGGAGGCAGCAGUGGGGAAUAUUGGACAAUGGGCGCAAGCCUGAUCCAGCAAUGCCGCGUGGGUGAAGAAGGCCUUCGGGUUGUAAAGCCCUUUUGU
RNAcentral lists this ribosomal RNA (401 nucleotides) under uncultured bacterium. RNAcentral describes it as "bacterial SSU rRNA". It matches the Rfam family "Bacterial small subunit ribosomal RNA", at positions 8 to 439 of the family's 1533-position model. The record is from RNAcentral.